This is a long non-coding RNA of Oreochromis niloticus (Nile tilapia), 1549 nucleotides long. RefSeq lists it as uncharacterized. The record is from RefSeq and is a predicted model, not a curated record. The transcript has 4 exons. Lineage: Eukaryota; Metazoa; Chordata; Actinopteri; Cichliformes; Cichlidae.
CCUUUGUUUUUGAAAGCAGCCAGGACUGGAACCUCUGAACACAACCUUGGUAUGUCUGGUGCUCCUCACAGAUCUUCUGAAGCAGUGAAAGACGUUCCUAGCACAGCGGGAAAUAUAUCUCUUGUCUCUCCUGGGCCUGAGGAUCCACACUGGGGUCCUGGGUUCUGUUGUGCAGUGCAGCUGCCUCAUCCAGCAGCCUCUCCAGUAGCACCGCCUGACCUUUGAUAUCACUCACCACCACCCUCUGCUGAUCCACCUGCCAAAGCUUCUCUUUCACUCCAAGCUGCAUCUCUAGCUCGACAUCAUGGCUUCGUUGCUGCUUCGUCAACCACAGCUCAAACUCUUCGUAGGCCUUCAGGAAACUCUGGCUGGCACAGCCCGGCGGUCAAUCCAGAAUGACACCCAUGAAAGCAUCACCAUGAGUGUGGCUGGAAAGUACGUCUGCAGCAGGAAGAAGAAGAUGUGACGUCUCAAUGUGAAGUUGAUGUAGAGACGAUUGUACCAGCCUGCAAACACAGCAAGAGACCUUCUCAGAGUGGAGAAGGUUAGGAUGGGAAGCUGCUGGCCUGCAUAUGCCCUUUCUCCUCUCCAAUCGCUGUCCAGUCAGCAUUAUCUCAGCUAAGUAUAAUUUAGAUGAUUUAAUUAAUAUUUUGUGAUUGCUAUUAUUAUUUGAUUCUGCUUUUGCUUUGCUCCUGCUAAAUUGCUUCAAUUAGAUAUCCUGUAAUUAAAGUCCUUUUUAACCCUUUGUGAAAGGGUAAAGGUAUAAAUCUGAGUAUUAAUCCUUACUGGUAUAAAUAAGUCUUACAGGUUACCUUUAAAAGUAACAGAACUUUGAGGUCUACUGUCCAUGCCCCUAAAUUUAACCCAGUGCACCAAUUUAGAGGGGAUCUGCCAUAACAGGUGUCACUGGUAAGAUAACGGGCCUGCAAGGCUAUUCAGACACUUGUUUAUGCUUUUCUUUUCUUAUCAUGGGAUUAAUUUCCAAAGUAUCAAGAAGAAUCGCAAUACUAAACAAAGCAAACGUCCACUCACUGGAAAAUAAACUGAACCAUCUCAGACAGGAUGUAACAUCAACACGAGAGGUGAAAGACAGUUGUGUACUCGUGCUUACUGAGACCUGGCUGAAGGAUACGGUGAGGGACCAAGCUAUUAGCUUAGCAGGGCUAACCAUAUGCGUAUUUAGAUAAGCAUGAAAUAAAGAAACAUAAAAACAUGAAGAUAUGAUAAUAAUUUGUACUUCAUGUAGUGUAUAUAUUAUAUUGGAAAAUAUGUUCAUUGUUAUUACUGCAGUUUAUAUCAGUACAGAAGCUGAAUAAAUAUUAACUGAUAACUUAUGGUGAAGGGGUGGGAUUAAAUAAGUGUGCACUUCUUCCAACUCCUUUUAGAUGUGUAACUCAAUCAGAAUAGGUGAAGCAAUAUUGAGGUGUAUUUUGCUUUGUUUUGUAUAGUAUUUCUUAUUUCUUUUCUUUCCUAAAUGAACUUCUGUAUAUUGUUUACAUGAGGUGGCUGUAGCUCAGGAGGUAGAGCAGGUCACCUACUGAUUGUAAGG